RNAcentral lists this ribosomal RNA (784 nucleotides) under uncultured Neocallimastigales. Its description in RNAcentral is "partial large subunit ribosomal RNA". It matches the Rfam family "Eukaryotic large subunit ribosomal RNA", at positions 26 to 644 of the family's 3401-position model. The record is from RNAcentral. Lineage: Eukaryota; Fungi; Neocallimastigomycota; Neocallimastigomycetes; Neocallimastigales.
CGCAUCUGUGCAUGCAGCAUAUCAAUAAGCGGAGGAAAAGAAACUAACAAGGAUUCCCUUAGUAACGGCGAGUGAAGCGGGAAGAGCUCAAAUUUGAAAUCUUCAAGGUUUUACCUUGACGAAUUGUAGUUUAAAGAAGUGUUUUCUGCUGAAGUUUUGGUAAAAGUUCUUUGGAAUAGGACAUCAUAGAGGGUGAGAAUCCCGUAUUUGACCAUUAUUUUCAGCUGUGUGAUACACUUUCAAAGAGUCGGAUUGUUUGGGAAUGCAGUCCAAAAUGGGUGGUAAAUUUCAUCUAAAGCUAAAUAUUGGCGAGAGACCGAUAGCGAACAAGUACCGUGAGGGAAAGAUGAAAAGAACUUUGAAAAGAGAGUUAAACAGUACGUGAAAUUGUCAAAAGGGAAGCGUUUGACACCAGUGUUGUUUUCUCGAAAAUCAAUUAAGAAUGGCUCGAUUUUGUAGUUGCUGAUGACCUUAAAGCUCACUGUACAUUUUUUCGAUGUCUUUUUUAAUGCACUUUUCGGUUUAACAAGUCAACAUCAAUUUCUUUUGUAUGUAAAAGGAGUCAUUGGAAGGUGGCUUUCUUUUCGGAGAAAGUGUCUAUAGCCUUAUGCCUCUACAAUCGGAGAGACUGAGGUCUGCAGCGUAGACUCUUCGGGGUUAGAUACAUUUGUGCUAAGUUAGUAGCUUUUUAUAGACAACUUGUUGACCAUAGUUAGUCAUUGUAGGCUUACUCGCUUAGUGCUAUUUUACCUACGCUUAGGAUGUUGAAGAUAUGCGCGACACG